UUUGUUUUCUCUUUCUGUUUUUAAUUUUUUUAGGAAACUAAUGUGUUUGAUAACGUUCUCUGUUUCUCGUUCUCAAAAUAAUAGAAACGGAACAAGAAAAAAGAGUUUCUUCCGUUUUUGUUUCUCUUCGUUCUCAAAUUUCAUGACUUCUCUUUCUUCUCUCUUCUCUCUUCUCCUUCGAUGUUUCUCUUCGCUCUUCGGAUAGGGCUUCAUCUCUUUGUUCACCUUCUUCAAUCUCUUACCCAUUCCAUUUCUUCGUUCUCCGACCAUGGUAGCUCUUCCUACUCUAUCAGAUUCAAUUCCUCGCGACGGGAAAUCGACAAGUGAAAGAAAAAAUUAGAAAAAGAUGGGAUUGGGUAACGCAAACGCGGGAUGGGUAACUCAAUUCUUGACGUUAGAAGAGAGAUUUGAAAGAGAGAAGACGGAGAAAAGGAUUUUGGUGAAUUGCUGCAAGUGCAAGAAAAUAAAUAGAAAGGGAUGGGUUUUGUUUAUUAAAGAAAUCCCUUUUUUUUUUCACUUGCGAAAGAGACAAACAAACGCAAACAAUAGAAGGAAGAUGAGGAAAUUUGAUCCAUGGUCGAUGUUUUUCGGGCAAGAAUGGAAGAGGAACUGGCCACUCCUUGUUGGUGCGUCAUAACCGGCCUCUUAGUUUAUGUUUGCUUUAAUGAGAUCGAAUUAGCUUGCAAUUGGGCAUGGUGAUGAUCGAGCACUUGCAGCACUUUGUUUUUUUGAUUUUCAAGCAUUUUCAAUUGUGAUUUCAAUUGUGAAACUUGCAAUUAUAAUGUGAUUACACAAUUCUUUCAAUUUUGCUGUGAGGCUUCCAUCGUUCAUCAAGCGUUGGCUUGCAAAUUGGUGGUUUUGAAGAAAACCUUUUCUAGGAGGGUUUGAGAUUCCUCAAACAUUUGGAGAAUUAAUUUUCCUUAAAUUAAUUGACAUCACAAUAACACAAUACGUUUACUUAUCA
This is a long non-coding RNA of Cucumis sativus (cucumber), 964 nucleotides long. RefSeq lists it as uncharacterized. Lineage: Eukaryota; Viridiplantae; Streptophyta; Magnoliopsida; Cucurbitales; Cucurbitaceae. The record is from RefSeq and is a predicted model, not a curated record. The transcript is spliced from 2 exons.